CCUACGGGUGGCAGCAGUGGGGCAUAUUGGGCAAUGGGCGCAAGCCUGACCCAGCAACGCCGCGUGAAGGAAGAAGGCUUUCGGGUUGUAAACUUCUUUUGACAGGGAAGAGCAGAAGACGGUACCUGUCGAAUAAGCCACGGCUAACUACGUGCCAGCAGCCGCGGUCAUACGUAGGUGUCAAGCUUUGUCCGGAUUUACUGGGUGUAAAGGGCGUGUAGCCGGGCUGACAAGUCAGAUGUUAAAUCCGGGGGCUCAACCCCCGAAGUGCAUUUGAAACUGUUGGUCUUGAGUAUCGGAGAGGCAGGCGGAAUUCGUAGUGUAGCGGUGAAAGGCGUAGAUAUUAGGAAGAACACCAGUGGCGAAGGCGUCUUACUGGACCGAAACUGACGUUGAGGCUCGAAAGCGUGGGGAGCAAACAGGAUUAGAUACCCUUGUAGUC
This 442-nucleotide ribosomal RNA is filed under the name uncultured bacterium. RNAcentral describes it as "partial 16S ribosomal RNA". It matches the Rfam family "Bacterial small subunit ribosomal RNA", at positions 338 to 795 of the family's 1533-position model. The record is from RNAcentral.